Molecule: unclassified non-coding RNA, 147 nt
Filed under: soil metagenome
Description: partial internal transcribed spacer 1
Source: RNAcentral
CCGAGUCUACAACUCCCAAACCCCUGUGAACAUACCAAUUGUUGCCUCGGCGGAUCAGCCCGCUCCCGGUAAAACGGGACGGCCCGCCAGAGGACCCCUAAACUCUGUUUCUAUAUGUAACUUCUGAGUAAAACCAUAAAUAAAUCA